Long non-coding RNA from Pan troglodytes (chimpanzee), 2343 nucleotides. RefSeq lists it as uncharacterized. NCBI's taxonomy places the organism in Eukaryota, Metazoa, Chordata, Mammalia, Primates, Hominidae. The transcript is spliced from 10 exons. The record is from RefSeq and is a predicted model, not a curated record.
UACCCUAUCUGAGCACCAGCACAGUAAAGAUAAAUUAAGAAGACUUUGCCUAAAACAUUCUGCAUCUUGAGCAAAAUCAGGGAUUAGAUCAGCUGAAGUGUCAUGUCUGGUACCUCUUGGAGCUCUUGGCACAGGGUAGAAGCCAAAGGAAAGCAGGUAACAUCAUAAGUGCCAAGUCCUCAUCUCCUCUCAAAAGUUCCAUCCCAUUCAGAGGUUGCAUCAGCAACAUCGCAAGUGAUCCAAGCUCCACAGCUCAACUCCAUCCAUCAAAAGGCUAUCCACACACCCCAGCUCUGCACAAUGACUUGCAGUCAUUUCGGUUUUACAGAAAAACUAACCCUUUAGGAUAUUUGAAGGUGAGGUGGAAGAAGAAAGAAAAAAUGGUUACAGACCUGGUCCUGAAGUCUAAUCAAGAAUGGAGGAAGGACAUCAAAGCAGGGUGUCUUUUUCAUCCUGCCUCCCAAGAGUAGUCUGCCAUGAGAAAUACAAAAUCAUGCAAUUUAAUAAUCAAAAAUACAUUUUAAAGAAAAGAGAAGUAGAUGUACUAGAUAGCUGGGAUGUCUUGGUUGCUACAAUUGAAUAUUAACUUAACUGUAAGCUUCUACCUGCCAGCUAGGGCAAAAAUUCUAGGUACUGGACUGGUCCUAUGAGUGAGUCAGCAUACAACAGCUACGUUGGAGGGUUAACUUUCUCCAGAUUCCAUUUUUAGGUGCCAGGAUUGCAGAUGGAGUCUCGCUCACUCAGUGCUCAAUGUUGCCCAGGCUGGAAUGCAGUGGCGUGAUCUCGGCUCGCUACAACCUCCACCUCCCAGCCGCCUGCCUUGGCCUCCCAAAGUGCUGAGAUUGCAGCCUCUGCCCGGCCACCACCCUAUCUAGGAAGUGAGGAGCGUCUCUGCCUGGCCGCCCAUCAUCUGGGAUGUGAGGAGCCCCUCUGCCCGGCCGCCAGUCUGGGAAGUGAGGAGCGUCUCUGCCUGGCCACCCAUCCUCUGGGAUGUGGGGAGCGCCUCUGCCCGGCCACCCCGUCUGGGAGGUGAGGAGCGCCUCUGCCCGGCCGCCACCCUGUCUGGGAACUGAGGAGCAUCUCUACCCAGCCGCCACCCCGUCUGGGAGGUGAGGAGCGCCUCUGCCCAGCCGCCACCCCGUCUGGGAAGUGAGGACACCUCUGCCCGGCCGCGACCCCGUCUGGGAACUGAGGAGCGUCUCUGCCCGGCCGCCCCGUCUAAGAAGUGAGGAGCCCCUCCGCCCGGCAGCAGCCCCGUCUGGGAAGUGAGGAGCGUCUCCACCCAGCUGCCCCGUCUGGGAGGAUAAAGAUAUUCCCUUCCUCAGGGUACAGGGAGGGUACCUCUUAUGAACUACUUUACAGGAAGGUCAGAGAAUUCAUUUACGGCCUGCUUCAGGAGAGAAAGGCAAGAGGAAGGUCAGAGAGACUUUCCUACUACUGCUGUUUUCUCCAAUACUAAAGUACCAUAUUUUGGGAUUGCGUGUCCUGAACUCCUUCAACUAAUUGGUACAAGAACGAGGAAGCCUCCAUGAAAGCCAAGCUGGAAAAGAGAGCAUGGUAUAUUCUAAACCAGUGGCUGUACCUUCAUUAGCAUAACAUAAUAAAUAAGUUAUGUGCCUUGGAAUGAAGAAUGUGCUUGGAGAGGGUGAGAAAGGAAUAUCCCUUCCAUGUAUCCAGCUCAGUGACCGGGAGACAGAUCUCAAUUAUCGUUUUUUGAGCAAAAUUGACUAAAACCGAACAGAGAAUUGCCACUGUUAAGAAAAGAGAAAGGCCAAGAGAAGAAAAAUCAGAGAGCUCAUGAUGAAAAACCAAAGUGUGUAAAAAGACAGUGGAAGAGGUAUUGCCUUUCAUCACAGGCUUUAAACAUGGACUCCAGAAAGCAAUUGCUAAUAUGGAGGAUGAAUUCCCUAAAACCCAAAGGAAGAUGCAUGAGCACAUUGGCAGCACUGGUACUCUUCAUGAAGACUUAUUUUUUUUCUAAACUGAUGCUAUACAUGAGAAUAAAAAGUUGAAGUCUGAAGUUCUUCAAAUUCAAUUCAACAAAUGUUGACUGGGUGCUGUAAAAGAAAAAUUGCACCAGAUCCAGUUAAACAGCAGGAGCGUGAGCCAGAGUGAAAAGGAGGCAUUGCUCCCUAACCAUGCCUGAGGCUUCCUUUAAAAACAGAACCAUUUUCAAUGUCAAGUGAGUAGGAGGCAAAAGGCACUGACUGCAGGUGGAGGCAGAAACCUUCCUCCCUCUGCUAGUUGUCCAUGUUUUUAUUGAAAGUUGGAAAUCGUUUUAAAGUCCAUUCAAAAUGUGAUUCUUAUUUUUUAAAACUGAAAUAAAUCUAAACAUGCUGACAU